This is a long non-coding RNA of Megalobrama amblycephala (Wuchang bream), 603 nucleotides long. RefSeq lists it as uncharacterized. The transcript has 3 exons. The record is from RefSeq and is a predicted model, not a curated record. Lineage: Eukaryota; Metazoa; Chordata; Actinopteri; Cypriniformes; Xenocyprididae.
ACUUUGAUGUCAUUGGCUGAUCGGUCUGCACAGCGCCGAUGCAUCUCAAACGAACGGCUUCUCGAUUCAUUUGUCUCUGAAUUGCGAAUCAUUUUGUAUUUUUUGAAUCGUUUCGCAAGCCCUACCUCACACAUGUGCACGGAGCGAGACGGCAGUGCAUGGAAGAUAAUACAGAUGAAUCGCUCCAAAAGAAGAUUACAAAACCAUCCAAAUACAUAACGGUGGAUGAAAACUCAGAGGUCGUAUGUGGGAGCCGCGCGAAAAGCACCGCCAACGUGUCAGCCAAAGAUGCUGCUGGGAUUAAGUAACAGCAAGACUCCUGGGAUUCCAUCAGCUCCUCAGCAUCAGAGUCCCAAGUGAAAAAGAAGAUAAAGAAGAAGAAAAUUAAGAAGCCAAGCAAGAGACACAAAAAAGGAGGAAAAAUAAUGAUAAUUUGUUGUCAUGUUAACAUCAUUAAAAUAAUAAUUGAUAAUCUUUUUUGAAAUAAGUUGUUUAAUUUAUAUUACUAUUAUUGUUAUUCAUAAUUAUUACUGUUAUUAAAAUAAUAUUAAAAUAAAUGUUUUGACAUAAAGGAUAUGCCAUUUUGUGUAUGUAAAUUUGUUG